GGGGGUGUUCCGGAUUCGACCCUUGGUUGGAGUGCGCCGCUGCCUGUCGAGAGUCGGGGGUCUCUCGCAAAUCGCCCCUCGAAAAACAUAAAUGGCACACCUGAAGUAAUGCCCAUGGCCGCCUAAUUAGGCAGCCUCGUUGGUCCGGCGACACCUGCUAGCCGGUACUGACGUCGACAGCAGGCAUAACGCGUGGAGCGGUCCGCGGACUGCGCGUCGUAACUUCAAUCCGGGGACUGGCCGGUGCUUAAGCGCGCGUGAUCGCGUAACACCAGCGAGAUCAAAGUCACACUAUACAUGGUAGACGCGGUGCGCGAAGGUCAGGGGCACGCGGGUUCAACUCCCGCCACCUCCACCA
RNAcentral lists this transfer-messenger RNA (358 nucleotides) under Verrucomicrobiota bacterium. RNAcentral's name for it is "Verrucomicrobia bacterium (activated sludge metagenome) transfer-messenger RNA". It matches the Rfam family "transfer-messenger RNA". From Rfam's summary of the family: Bacterial tmRNA, also known as 10Sa RNA or SsrA, is named for its dual tRNA and mRNA-like properties. Its role is to liberate the mRNA from a stalled ribosome. To accomplish this part of the tmRNA is used as a reading frame that ends in a translation stop signal. The record is from RNAcentral. Lineage: Bacteria; Pseudomonadati; Verrucomicrobiota.